AGAUUAGAGGGGUAUAUAGGAGUGAACUUGUCUGUCGGUCGGUCUGUCUGUCGGUCCGUAUUAAGUGUCCGCUCUCUAAUUCAAGUAGUUUUCAUCCGAUCUUCACCAAACUUGGUCAGAAGUUGUAUCUACAUGAUGUCUAGGCCAAGUUGGAACAUGGGCCUUGCCGGGUCAAAAACUAGGUCACGGGGUCACUUAGUGCGUUUUAAACAUUCAGCAUGUUGUCCGCUCUCUAAUUCAAGUAGUUUUCAUCCGAUCUUCACCACACUGGGUCAGAAGUUAUAUCUAGAUGAUCUUAAGGCCAUGUUCGAACAUGGGCCUUGCCGGGUCAAAAACUAGGUCAUGGGGUCACUUAGUGCGUUUUUUAACAUUCAGCAUGGUGUCCUCUCUCUUAUUCAAGUAGUUUUUAUCCGAUCUUCACCAAACUUGGUCAGAAGUUUUAUCUAGAUGAUCUGAAGGCCAAGUUCGAACAUGGG
This is a long non-coding RNA of Dreissena polymorpha, 476 nucleotides long. RefSeq lists it as uncharacterized. The record is from RefSeq and is a predicted model, not a curated record. NCBI's taxonomy places the organism in Eukaryota, Metazoa, Mollusca, Bivalvia, Myida, Dreissenidae. The transcript has 2 exons.